GACGAACGCUGGCGGCGUGCUUAACACAUGCAAGUCGAACGGAAAGGCCCUGCUUUUGUGGGGUGCUCGAGUGGCGAACGGGUGAGUAACACGUGAGUAACCUGCCCUUGACUUUGGGAUAACUUCAGGAAACUGGGGCUAAUACCGGAUAGGAGCUCCUGCUGCAUGGUGGGGGUUGGAAAGUUUCGGCGGUUGGGGAUGGACUCGCGGCUUAUCAGCUUGUUGGUGGGGGAGUGGCUUACCAAGGCUUUGACGGGUAGCCGGCCUGAGAGGGUGACCGGCCACAUUAGGACUGAGAUACGGCCCAGACUCCUACGGGAGGCAGCAGGGGGGAAUAUUGCACAAUGGGCGGAAGCCUGAUGCAGCAACGCCGCGUGCGGGAUGACGUCCUUCGGGUUGUAAACCGCUUUCGCCUGUGACGAAGCGUGAGUGACGGUAAUGGGUAAAGAAGCACCGGCUAACUACGUG
RNAcentral lists this ribosomal RNA (468 nucleotides) under uncultured bacterium. RNAcentral's name for it is "partial 16S ribosomal RNA". It matches the Rfam family "Bacterial small subunit ribosomal RNA", at positions 28 to 507 of the family's 1533-position model. The record is from RNAcentral.